CGUCGGAGUCGCCCUCGCUUGGUCUCGGACAUGGCUUUCUGCUUCGACCUAAGCAUCCCCUUCCUCGAGGGUGACAGCGGAGGCGGCGGCGCGUCGUCGGAAAACAAGGCGCGGAAGGACGCUUGGCUGAAGGCGGUGGUGAGGGCCAUGGAGCUCGGCUACGCCGGCGUCCUGUCGGACGCGGACCGUUGCAAGAUCGCCCCCCCUUCCUUCUUUCCUCCCUCCUCAAGGCCUCCGUUGCCUUCCACCGCGACCUCCUCGGGGGCGCCCCCCUCGCCCCCCCCCUUCCGCCAUUACACCCGCUUGACUGUUUCUGCCCACGGCGGCGCCUUCACCGUUGCCCUCAACGGCAGCGCUCUGCUGAGGACCUACGACCUAGUUGCCCUACGCCCUUUGAACCAGGACGCGUUCGACGAGGCUUGUGAGUCAUCCGAGGUUGAUAUAAUUUCAAUGGAUUUCUCCCAAAAACUUCCCUUCCGUUUGAGGCUUCAAUCCAUUAAAGCAUGCUAUUCAGAUUCUGUGAGUAUGUUUAUUUUGUCAACUUGUUACAGUUCCUGAUUUUCUGUUCAGAUCUGCUUAUACUUUUCCUGCCUAUGUCUCAUGCAGCAUGGAUUAUAUUUUGAAAUAACCUACACUCAUCUUAUAGCUGAUGCUCAUGUUAGGAUGCAAAUCCUAUCAGAUGCCAAGGUGAAACCAUGCCGACCUACAAUUCUGUGGUUUGACAUGCUGCCAGCUUUUGUUCGAGGGAAUUGGCAGAGAAGACCUCCAAAGGGGAAAAAGUGGGAUCACCAGUGAUGUCUUACAGAGGAAGAAGCUAUAUUUUAAGUCUAGUUUGUAUAAAGCACCAUCCAAAAUAUAUCCUCGCUUAGUUCAUUCCGGCCGAAUCCUUCGAGUUCUACGACUGGUGGCCAUGUGGAUGGAUGUAUCGUUGAAGCAUCUAACUUGGCUUUUCAUGCUUGGUGGGCAAACUUUGGUCUGUAACAGGUCCAAGAACAUCCAAAGAUGAGUUACACGGAAUGCUGCCGCCUUCGAGUCACUUUAGU
Musa acuminata subsp. malaccensis (wild Malaysian banana) is the source of this 1043-nucleotide non-coding RNA. Lineage: Eukaryota; Viridiplantae; Streptophyta; Magnoliopsida; Zingiberales; Musaceae. The record is from RefSeq and is a predicted model, not a curated record.